This is a long non-coding RNA of Lycium ferocissimum, 425 nucleotides long. RefSeq lists it as uncharacterized. The transcript is spliced from 2 exons. NCBI's taxonomy places the organism in Eukaryota, Viridiplantae, Streptophyta, Magnoliopsida, Solanales, Solanaceae. The record is from RefSeq and is a predicted model, not a curated record.
UGCGGUUAGGGAUUCAAACCCUAGCCCGCUGCCACCAUAUGCUCCACUCUCUCUCCUCGUCAACUGACCAUUUUUCGAAAGUUUUUAGAGAACCACAGAUCGUUCAGUACUUGCCAUGGUUUGUUUUGGCAAAGCAUUAAUUGUUUCAAUGGUUCACCACAUUCUAUCUGCCAAACGACGCCCAAACAAGCCCAACAGGUCAAUUCUUCAUAAUAUAGACGAUUCCAAUGAAGAGAAAGGGAAGCAAAUAUUGUAGAUGCGCAUGAAGGCCCAGCCAUGGGUAAAAAUGACCAAUUAGGGGCUUGGUACGCCCCUAGGCUAUCCCUUCUCUUUUUAUUGUUAUGUCCUCUUAUUUUUCAAAUUGCUGUAUUGUAUUCAUGUACUUGUAAAAAGCUUGUAUUAUAGUGGAAUCCUUUUUGGUUGAA